This 200-nucleotide ribosomal RNA is filed under the name uncultured bacterium. RNAcentral describes it as "partial 16S ribosomal RNA". It matches the Rfam family "Bacterial small subunit ribosomal RNA", at positions 9 to 217 of the family's 1533-position model. The record is from RNAcentral.
AGGUUUGAUCCUGGCUCAGGACGAACGCUGGCGGCGUGCCUAAUACAUGCAAGUCGAGCGGGACUCUUCGGAGUCUAGCGGCGGACGGGUGAGUAACACGUGGGCAACCUGCCUGUAAGACUGGGAUAACUUCGGGAAACCGGAGCUAAUACCGGAUAAUCCUUUUCCUCACAUGAGGGGAAGCUGAAAGACGGUUUCGG